AAGUCGUAACAAGGUUUCCGUAGGUGAACCUGCGGAAGGAUCAUUACCAAUAUUCCAAAUAUCCAAACCCAUGUGCACGAUGAAACUGUCUUGGUUUUUGGGGUGGGCUUUCACAAGUUCACCCCAGCCAAUUUUUACAAAACUACUUUUCAAUUGUCAUGGAAUUAUUACUUGUUAUUAAUAAAUAUAAUGACAACUUUUAACGGUAGAUCUCUUGGCUCGUGGAUCG
RNAcentral lists this unclassified non-coding RNA (229 nucleotides) under fungal sp. RNAcentral describes it as "partial internal transcribed spacer region". The stretch from base 1 to 46 matches the Rfam family "Eukaryotic small subunit ribosomal RNA", at positions 1786 to 1831 of the family's 1831-position model. Lineage: Eukaryota; Fungi. The record is from RNAcentral.